AUAGAAUAAGACGUCGACCAAUCAAAUGGGAUUACCGUUCGAAGUGUCGAUUCGUGCCCUCCGAUUGGAUAGACAAGAAUUCAAAAGCAUUUAAACGAGCUAGCAUGGCGGGCCCUUUAAAUCCUUACGCACAGCGAGUGUUGGAUUGAAUAAUGCCUGCUUUUACGUUAUUAGGCUUGGUGCUUGGACUGAUUGGGGAAAUGAUUGGAAAUGCAUUUCCAAUACGUUGACUCUGUUUCAUCAUUUACAAGGUGUGACAAGUCUGUGCAAUCGGGCUACGUCAGGAGGAGAGAAAGACCGUGGAUUCGAGGGCAAAUAGUACGGAGGAGAUAGAUAGAAAUCAGAUAAAGUUCCAGUCUUUUGGAGAUUAAUAUAAGAUUAAUUAAAGUGGAACUGGACUUGGACUGAUCCUGAUUAUCUGGAAAGUUCAUUAAUUAAUGACAAAAUAUGUCAUUUUCAUGGCAUUUACUUUACAGAAGACCAAAGAUGACUGAAAAUCAGCAAAGCAAAAGCCAGUAGUAGCUGUGGAUGUCAUGUUAUAAAUGAUAACUUUAUCAAGUUGACAGCCACAAGAAGUAUAGCAUUUUUAUGUAAAAGGAAAGUACCAAUUUUUUGUAUUUGAAAAUCUUAAUAUCUUAUUGAAUCUUUUAAGUAAACUCAAAGAAUAUUCUCAUGGAAUGCACAAUGAGCACUGUAUGCCAAUUUGUAGAAAUCAAAUUAGUUUUGCAAGCUGCAAUGUUCUGUUUAGGAGUUCUUUGACUUUUUGCAUUUAUAAGUUUUCCAUAUGUCUAUCUUUCAUAUUUCUGGGACAGGGAUUAUGGGGUUCCAUUGUAAUAGUUUUUUUUUAAUUCUUAUUGUAUUUAUAACAAUUUAGAUGUUAUUAAGAAAUAUUAGAAUGACUGGUUUUUAAACUAAUUACAGUGUAUUAUACUAUAUAUUACUUUUUUAUUAACAGAGAAUGAACAGCAUGAUCUUAUGAUAGGUAGUGAAGUAGCCUGUGAUACCAAUAAAAGACAACUAUGAAAAACAAUUAGUAAGAAAAAGAUUGAUAGGACUGGAUAAAAUAAACAGUGGGAGACAGAUGCAGAGCAACAUGUAUGGAUUCAAUCAAUUGUACAGAGAAGAAAAAAACUAUUUUACAUUUGUUUUGGUAGUGGAAAUUAAUGAUAAUCUUGUCGAUGGAAUUCCAAAAUGUUAUGUAUUUACUAAAUAUAACAAAUGUAUAUCUUAAUCUAAUCUCAAAACUUCUUAAAAUUGUUUACUACUUCAUUCUGAAUAAUCGAUAUUGUUAUCUAUGAUAACUUAGACAUGAUUAAUGUAUUUUAUUCUGUCUCCUUUACGUGAACAAGAAUAAGAUUUUCAUGCUAAAACAUUAUACUACAGUAAAACCUGUCUAAACACAGCAAUUUUCUGUUAAAUUUUACUAACAGCCAAGAAGAGGUUUUUCAAAACAAAGAACAUAACUUAAAUGAAGCAAAAAAUGCUUCUAGGAGUAACAGUCAUCACAGAACAUGAAAACUAUUUUGAACCUUUCCACAGAAACAAAGAUCAAGCAACAAUGGGACACAAUCAAAUACUUCUACGAACUGAGAAUGUGUUUGUUGCUUGUUCUCAAUCCUUGGAAACAUAAUUUUGCAACAUGGUGCUAUUAAUUUAUCUCAUACAGAUUAGUUAAUAAAUAACAAAUACAAAGUAUUCUAAAACAAGUCAAUUUACACAUUAAUCAUUAAUCAUUAACUUCAAUCUCUAUAAUUAUAAAUUAGAGGAUUAUAAUUUGUCAAAAAUUUAUAAUACAGAAUAACUUGGACUCUGAAUUACCAUAAUGAAAUUACAAUUUCUGAUGGCAGAGCAAGACACAAGUUCUCCGUACUCAAACCAGCUCGUUUACCAUCAUAAGAGCUCAUAUGGAUUACAUCCGAGAAGUAUUUGAAUAUGUGGCAGAAGCUCUCGUGAAUGACAACUUUUUUUGGUCAAAUAUACCUGCCCAUCUUUGGUCAGAAUCAUAUUUUGAAUUAAACCUAACAAUAAAACUCUAUAUGUAAAAAUGGUUUUACAGAAAAAUACACAUAACUGCAUGACAUUUGUUUUACUCUUUAACUAUACUAGAUAACAGCGAAAAAUACUAAAACCUAUUCAGAAAUCGGGAAAAAAUUUUGUACCACACAAUCCCAGUUUAUACAGGUUUUACUAUAUUUUUUAGCUCUCUAUUAAAAUAAUAGUACACAUUUACCUCUAACACUUUUCUGAUCACUAUUAUCUUCC
This 2262-nucleotide unclassified non-coding RNA is filed under the name Centruroides sculpturatus (bark scorpion). Its description in RNAcentral is "platelet glycoprotein V-like, transcript variant X7". The record is from RNAcentral. Lineage: Eukaryota; Metazoa; Arthropoda; Arachnida; Scorpiones; Buthidae.